GGGGUUGUGGUUCAGUGGUAGAGCACUCACCUAGCAUGUGUGAGGCACUGGGUUCAAUCCUCAGCACCA
This 69-nucleotide transfer RNA is filed under the name Ictidomys tridecemlineatus (thirteen-lined ground squirrel). Its description in RNAcentral is "Spermophilus tridecemlineatus (thirteen-lined ground squirrel) tRNA". It matches the Rfam family "tRNA". From Rfam's summary of the family: Transfer RNA (tRNA) molecules are approximately 80 nucleotides in length. Their secondary structure includes four short double-helical elements and three loops (D, anti-codon, and T loops). The record is from Rfam by way of RNAcentral. Lineage: Eukaryota; Metazoa; Chordata; Mammalia; Rodentia; Sciuridae.